This is a non-coding RNA of Pelobates cultripes (western spadefoot toad), 825 nucleotides long. Lineage: Eukaryota; Metazoa; Chordata; Amphibia; Anura; Pelobatidae. The record is from the annotation of a GenBank genome assembly.
CCUGAGGCAUUUUUUCCUUUUCUGUAGCUAACACAUAGCAAGAGUUCCAGAUGGCUGGUGUUCAGGAAUAUGACAGGCUAUACAUAACCCAUGCUAGCAAGGGGCUAAAUAUACUAAAUUAUUAUUUUUUUCUUUACGGGGGGGCGGGAGGCAGGGGUAGUGGAGUGUAUCUUUAAGAACCAAUAUGUCACACACACAAAAUAAUAUCACUUAAUUAAUUUGCACCUAGUGCCAGAGAAUGCCAGAAAAGGCUAGCAUUCAAUCAAGUGAUUCAUAUAAAAUGUAAAAUGCAAUGACGUAAAGUGCAAAUGUGAUAUUUCUAUGUAGGACAUUGGAGGCGGAAGGGCCCACAGAUAGAACCUUACCAUGGGUAUAUUUAAUACUAACACAGCUAGAAUCAGUAGCCAAUGUACCAAGCUGCUUGUAUAACACAGAGCCGUUCCUUUCAUGUGUAAAUCCCUGUGUUAUCAUUCAUGUACUGGGUAAAGUGAUAUAUCUUUAGUAUCCCGUUCCUAGAGUUUGGUAAGUAAAUGUGGGGCCGCCAAACCGAGAAUAAAUACAUUUUGCAAAGAAGCUUUAUAAAAACUGGGAGGGGGAUCAGCAGGUUACCCAGUGCUGUACCCCCACCUCUGACUCACAUGGUUUAAUGAUUGUGUUUUUUUAUAUUUAUACAAAAACAAGGUAUGAAGAGACUAUAGCAUAACUGAGACAAUAUCAGCCUGGGGGCUAUUCCUCACUGGUACUCCCUCUAGUACCAACAUAAACAUCAAUAUUAUAUGAAAGAGAAUGCACACCAGAACCAAAAAAAACAAUAAUUGGUUAAAC